RNAcentral lists this long non-coding RNA (604 nucleotides) under Zonotrichia albicollis (white-throated sparrow). Its description in RNAcentral is "lncRNA (ENSZALG00000000449.1)". The record is from RNAcentral. Lineage: Eukaryota; Metazoa; Chordata; Aves; Passeriformes; Passerellidae.
UGCAGAUCUCUGUGCUUUUGCUGUCCUGCCUCCUUUUCUAUUAGUUUCCUAUUAUAUUUCAGCUCCCUGCUUGUGCCUGCAUACUCACUCUGAUCUGGGAUCCCUGCCAGCUGCUCCAGCCGUGUCCCAAUGCCAGCUGGGAUGUGUAGGUGCAGUGAUAGGAUGAUGCUCAUAGUACUGGGCAUUUAUUUUUUGACAUUUUGCAGAAAGCAAUUUCUCUGUGAGCUCUCAGCCUCUUCAGGAACAUGCUGUUAAUGGGCUUACUCCCAAAGUGCUGUAACCUGAUGAAGAGGCAAUGGCAUUUCACAAUGUGUACUCCAUUCACAGCUACCUGCUUAAAAUGUGGAAGGUGGAGGGGUGCUUUUGUUUACUGCCUGCAGGUCCAGACCUUGUCUUGGGUACUCAAUGGGGACUUGCUGCAAGAGGACAUGAGUGGAGAUGAGGAGCUUUUGAGGGGAAGGAUCCUAUCCAAGUCCUGCCAGCUGCAUCACCCAUCAAGAGGCUUUGGCACACAGGCUGCAGUUACCAGCCCCAGCCUUAAGCUGCCUGCACAAGCAGAAGAGGACAGUGUGUCACUGGAGCAAUGUUUCUGGUUUUACUCUGG